Molecule: long non-coding RNA, 914 nt
Organism: Petromyzon marinus (sea lamprey)
Lineage: Eukaryota; Metazoa; Chordata; Hyperoartia; Petromyzontiformes; Petromyzontidae
Source: RefSeq, a predicted model, not a curated record
UUCGCUAACCAUUGCGCCACCGCUCCGCGCACGUGUGUCACACGGGAUAUGGUCAAUGACGCCACGGCGGGGAAGAUGACUACGCGUGCUGACGUCAGCAGCUCCCAAAUUACAGGGGACGUGGGAGGGAGAGUUAGAGAGAGAGAGAGCGCUCGCAGAGAGAGAGAGCGCGCGCGUGGGCGUGUGGAGCGCGGGACCGCCCUGAGCGACUCGCUGCGGCGCAUAGAGACCCAACAACAAAGAGACAGAGAGAGGACGACUCAGAGGCGCCAUGAGGAGGAGGAACCACAGACGAGGAGCAGGAAGGCAGCGGCCACACGGCGAGGAGCCGACACCAAAUCCACUCCCCAGCUCGACGGUCCUCUACAUAUGAAGAAAACGAAACUUCCUCUUCAAGCUCACGUCGGGACAUCUCGGGACACGCAGCCUCAGGCGGUGUAGCUACAAGAGAAGAGAACCACUGCAUUCUGGGGUCGUGUCUUGGCAUUUAGCACACAAUCACUUACAUCACACUCCACCUGCUGGCCAAUACACCACGUCACUCGCACCCUUACAAUACAAAAUUACAUGAAUUAAUAAAGAACAAAAUUACUGGAUUAUAUUUCAUUAAAAAUAAAAUAUAUAUUUCGUUUAAAUCGGACUCUUAUUUUUAUCUUUCUCCCUCUCUCAUCCAAAUGAUCGCAUUGCAAAGCGCUCCCCUCAUGUGCUGGUUCACACGACGCAUCUCUCACGAGAGCCACGUGUUGUUCCGCCAGGGCUGAACAAGUCUUUGGUAAGACACCCAGGGCCCACCCAGGGCCCACACCCAGGGCUAUUACAGCACGAGGCAGACAAAUUGAAACAUUCCACCAACACUACCAACAACAACCGCCAUUCGCCACUAAGUGGCGGUGACGUCACCACGACGCUUGUGC